GGGCCUUUAGCUCAGUUGGUUAGAGCAGCCGGCUCAUAACCGGUCGGUCCACGGUUCGAGCCCGUGAAGGCCCACCA
RNAcentral lists this transfer RNA (77 nucleotides) under Faecalicatena fissicatena. RNAcentral's name for it is "tRNA-Ile". It matches the Rfam family "tRNA". From Rfam's summary of the family: Transfer RNA (tRNA) molecules are approximately 80 nucleotides in length. Their secondary structure includes four short double-helical elements and three loops (D, anti-codon, and T loops). Lineage: Bacteria; Bacillati; Bacillota; Clostridia; Lachnospirales; Lachnospiraceae. RNAcentral also lists the same sequence under 27 other names. The record is from RNAcentral.